Molecule: ribosomal RNA, 310 nt
Filed under: uncultured bacterium
Lineage: Bacteria
Description: bacterial SSU rRNA
Rfam family: Bacterial small subunit ribosomal RNA
Source: RNAcentral
GACGAACGCUGGCGGCGCGCCUAACACAUGCAAGUCGAACGAGCGAGAGAGAGCUUGCUUUCUCAAGCGAGUGGCGAACGGGUGAGUAACGCGUGAGGAACCUGCCUCAAAGAGGGGGACAACAGUGAGAAAUCACUGCUAAUACCGCAUAAGCUGUGAGUAUCGCAUGAUACAAGCAGAAAGGAACAAUCCGCUGAUAGAUGAGCUUGCGUCUGAUUAGUUAGUUGGUAGGGUAACGGCCUACCAAGACGAUGAUCAGUAGCCGGACUGAGAGGUUGAACGGCCACAUUGGGACUGAGAUACGGCCCAG